Molecule: ribosomal RNA, 633 nt
Filed under: Pseudoxanthomonas sp. M67T5
Lineage: Bacteria; Pseudomonadati; Pseudomonadota; Gammaproteobacteria; Lysobacterales; Lysobacteraceae
Description: bacterial SSU rRNA
Rfam family: Bacterial small subunit ribosomal RNA
Source: RNAcentral
AGAGAGCUUGCUCUCUUGGUGGCGAGUGGCGGACGGGUGAGGAAUACAUCGGAAUCUACCUUUUGGUGGGGGAUAACGUAGGGAAACUUACGCUAAUACCGCAUNCGCCCUUCGGGGGAAAGCCGGGGACCUUCGGGCCUGGCGCUGAUAGAUGAGCCGAUGUCGGAUUAGCUAGUUGGUGAGGUAAUGGCUCACCAAGGCGACGAUCCGUAGCUGGUCUGAGAGGAUGAUCAGCCACACUGGAACUGAGACACGGUCCAGACUCCUACGGGAGGCAGCAGUGGGGAAUAUUGGACAAUGGGCGCAAGCCUGAUCCAGCCAUACCGCGUGGGUGAAGAAGGCCUUCGGGUUGUAAAGCCCUUUUGUUGGGAAAGAAAAGCGAUCGGUUAAUACCCGGUUGUUCUGACGGUACCCAAAGAAUAAGCACCGGCUAACUUCGUGCCAGCAGCCGCGGUAAUACGAAGGGUGCAAGCGUUACUCGGAAUUACUGGGCGUAAAGCGUGCGUAGGUGGUGGUUUAAGUCCGUUGUGAAAGCCCUGGGCUCAACCUGGGAAUUGCAGUGGAUACUGGGUCACUACGAGUGUGGUAGAGGAUAGUGGAAUUUCCGGUGUAGCAGUGAAAUGCGUAGAGAUC